UCCGAUGUGAUCUAACGGUUAGGAUGUCUGGCUUUAACCCAGAACGCCCGGGUUCGAUUCCCGGCAUCGGAU
This 72-nucleotide transfer RNA is filed under the name Ixodes scapularis (black-legged tick). It matches the Rfam family "tRNA". From Rfam's summary of the family: Transfer RNA (tRNA) molecules are approximately 80 nucleotides in length. Their secondary structure includes four short double-helical elements and three loops (D, anti-codon, and T loops). Further hydrogen bonds mediate the characteristic L-shaped molecular structure. tRNAs have two regions of fundamental functional importance: the anti-codon, which is responsible for specific mRNA codon recognition, and the 3' end, to which the tRNAs corresponding amino acid is attached (by aminoacyl-tRNA synthetases). tRNAs cope with the degeneracy of the genetic code in two manners: having more than one tRNA (with a specific anti-codon) for a particular amino acid; and 'wobble' base-pairing, i.e. permitting non-standard base-pairing at the 3rd anti-codon position. The record is from Rfam by way of RNAcentral. Lineage: Eukaryota; Metazoa; Arthropoda; Arachnida; Ixodida; Ixodidae.